GGAUGUGAGGGUGAUCUGGCUGCACCAUCUGUCGCUCCACGGAUCGUCAGGGUUGAUUUGGCUGAUCUGGCCGGCUAGCGGGGGUGCCCCCUUCCUCCCUCACCACUCCACGUGUGUCCCUCCUGAAGCUGCAUGCUCCGUCGAAGAGGAUGACCUUCCCCAGCAGAGGAGGACCAUUCUUUGGUCAAGGGUAUACAAGUAGCUGCGCUCCCCUGCUAGAACCUCCAAACAAGCUCUCAAAAAUCAGUUGUGUUUUUAUACACUAACAACAAACUGUCCACAAAUAAAAUUAAGAAAAUAAUCACAUUU
This 309-nucleotide small nuclear RNA is filed under the name Prolemur simus (greater bamboo lemur). Its description in RNAcentral is "7SK RNA (ENSPSMG00000008580.1)". It matches the Rfam family "7SK RNA". Rfam says of the family: 7SK was discovered as an abundant small nuclear RNA in the mid-70s but a possible function has only recently been suggested. Lineage: Eukaryota; Metazoa; Chordata; Mammalia; Primates; Lemuridae. The record is from Rfam by way of RNAcentral.